This 435-nucleotide unclassified non-coding RNA is filed under the name Brasilonema bambusae CR06-5A/1. RNAcentral describes it as "16S-23S ribosomal RNA intergenic spacer". The record is from RNAcentral. Lineage: Bacteria; Bacillati; Cyanobacteriota; Cyanophyceae; Nostocales; Scytonemataceae.
UUUUAGGGAGACCCGACUCAAUUCAAAAGUCAAAAUUCAAAGUUCAAAAACAAGAAAGAGUUUUUUGAAAUUUGGAUUUAUCAUAAAACUUUGAAUUGGUUUUAUCCCGAGGUCGAUCAUUAGUCAACAGUGCAAGCUUUCAAACUAUUUUUGGUUCACUUCAAUUGUCUAACAUAUACUUACAAUAAAAAAAUUAAUUUGUUACCUCUGGAUAACAGACUAAACUUAUUAAUUUUUCAAAUAAUAAAUAGAUUUGUUGCUUAUUGACAGUAUUUAUAAGCUAGUAAAGUUUCAGCAUCUUGUGGGCGAAAGCAAGAAUGCUGGAAAAUUUCCAGCAAAAGAACCUUGAAAACUGCAUAGAAACGCGAAAAAUGUCAGGUAGUUAACUGUUAUUAACAGUUAACACUCCAAGCAAAAACAGCAAUGAUUGUUUGU